UGCAGGAAGGAAGUCUAUGACUUUGAAAACUCAGACUCCUCAAGUCACGAAAAGGUUUCUAAAGCCAAAGGAAAGAUUCUUGCCCAGAAAAUUUCUUCACAAAGUCAGAGGACUUACGAAACAAGAAGCAAGAGCAAGGAAUCACAGAGUCUUGAGAGAAGGCAGUCCAGUUACAGGAAACAUCUUUUCUCUGAAAGCAACAAUGAGAAUACAAGCCCUGGUCAGAGUGAAAAAAGCUGGAUCCUUGACUCUCAGAUACAGUCGGCACCAAAAUCUGUUGACUAUACCCGAAAAAGACCCAGGGUGAGAAGUAAAUUAAAAGUGCUUCCAGUACCUUCUGCAAGUAGUGGCAGCGACUAUGAGUCAAAGAAGGUGGGAGUAUCAAAGCAAAGAGUUCAAAAGGAGAUGUCAAGGGAAAAAAGCACAUUUAACUUCAAGGGAGAUGAUUUACCCACGGUGGAUCUUGCUGAUGAAUCUCUCUCAGAGGAGCUUGGAGGGAGUCCGCUGCUAUUGAGUGUGUCUACCAGGAGCUCUCCCAGUGACAUGGAGAAGGCCACACAGGUGCAGAAAAAGUGCUUAGUCUCCCUUCCAGCCUGCUGUCAGGCUACCUGAAACCAGUGUGUCAUGUCUCUUUGCUUCCCAUAACAAGACAAGUCCCUGGCAGCUUGUCUGCAGGGUGGGUACAGUCUUAUUUUGUUUUCUUUCUCUACUUAGAAGUUUCAUGGUACACCAGGCAAAAUAUCAAGA
Molecule: long non-coding RNA, 747 nt
Filed under: Parus major (Great Tit)
Lineage: Eukaryota; Metazoa; Chordata; Aves; Passeriformes; Paridae
Description: lncRNA (ENSPMJG00000018282.1)
Source: RNAcentral